Molecule: RNA transcript, 3738 nt
Organism: Lates calcarifer (barramundi perch)
Lineage: Eukaryota; Metazoa; Chordata; Actinopteri; Centropomidae
Gene name: fibrous sheath CABYR-binding protein
Exons: 5
Source: RefSeq, a predicted model, not a curated record
UCCAGUAACCGUUAAACUGAGUCCAACCGGCACAGUGGCAAGGAUACUCAGUCCAGCCACAGUGUUGGGAGUUACUGGAAGUUGUUUGACUCUUAACGAAAAGGAUUCACGGACACGGACGGACAUCAUGUUCAAAGCUUCCUCUUUGCUGCUGCUGACGCUGAUCCUGAAGGUUCAGUUAAACUCUUCAGCACCGAUAUCUGCCAGAGUUGUCCAGUGUCCUGUUGUUGCUGAAGAACCAGGUCCAGAGGAACCUCACACCUGCAAAGAAUUAGUUCAGGAGAAGCUCAUUCCAGUUAUUGCAGUGGAGGCUCCUCCGUCUCCUGAGGAAUCACCAGCUGAAGAAGACAUUGCAGUUGCAGUAAGAGAACCAGAACCAGAACCCAGACCAGUACCCGUUGAAGAUGCGCUCUCUGCUGAUGCUGACGAAGCUGUAUCUCAGGGAUCAGAUCCUUGGGAGCCUUUGGCUGCAGCACAACAAGAAUCUUCAGAGGAGGAAACUGUCCUUGUAGAAGCUGCCAUGGCAGAGGCAUCUCCAGAUGAAACUAGAAUAGAAGUUGCCCCAAUUGCUACUGAAGAAAGGGAGUCUCCAGAUCAGCAGGAUGUGGAGGAUCCAGCUCAAGAGGCACCUAUCGUAGUCAUUCCUGUAAAUACUUCAGAAGAUGAAGAGAAAUCUGUUGUCCUUGUUCCUGCAGAACCUGAGACUGAAGAGGUAGUUCAAGAGGAGCCUGCUGUGGAUGAAACAGCACCAGAGGAGUCAGGCCCAGAAGAACCUGCAGUUAUUGUUCCAGUGGAAUCUGCUGAAGAGGAUCCAGAAGAACAAACAAAAGAAGAAGAUGCAGUUGUCCCAUUAGUCCUGGAGGAAUAUACUGAAGAGCACCCUGCUACUGAUGAGGAACCUGAGGAGGAAUCUGUUGUUCUCGUUCCUGUAGAACCUGAGGAAACAAUCCCAAUCAUUUCUUUAGAGACAACAAAGGAGGAAAGUCCAGAGGAACAAGCCAAAGAAGAUGCACUCGUCCCUAUAGUCCUGGAGGAAAAUGCUGAAGAGGAUCCAGCUACUGAAGAGGAACCUGAAGAAGAAUUUGUUGUCCUGGUUCCUGUAGACCCUGAGACCAAAGAGGAGGAUGAAGUCGAACCUGCUGCAGAGGAAACAGCACCCGAGGAGUCAGCUCCAGAACAUCCAGUUGUCAUUGUCCCCGUGGAUUCUUCUGAGGGAGAACCAGCGCAGGAAGAGGAAGUCGCAGAGGAAACAAUCCCCAAUGUUUUUCCAGAGGCAUCAAAAGAAGAAGCUGCUGUUACUGUAGCAAGCGUAGACCCAGAGGAGGAGGCUCCAGAAGACAACACGGAGGAAGAAGUUGUCCAGUCAGAUCCUCUUCCAGGGCUGGUUCCUCUGGAGGAGGAUCUGAAUCUGAAUAUAACUUCUGAGGAGAAUGAACAAGAGGCUCUAAUUGAAGCCCCAGUUGAACCAGAGGGGGUUCCUGCACUGGCAGGUGGCAAUGGCACCAGCAAUGCAACAGAGGAUUUUAAAGCUGCAGUAACACUGAUAGAAGAAGAACCUGUCGUGUCUUCUGUCCUAGUCCUACUGACCUGAAAAGGUGAAGUUUUGUUCGUGCACAUUCCAGGACAUAAUUAUCCUUAAUUAUGAUGAAAUUCCAAAAACUAGGUGUGAAAAUACCUCAAUUAAUUCCUGGGGCGCAAUAUUGUUGUAACAUGUUCAUAUCUGUGUAGGAGCUCACAGUGAGAAAAGUUGGCAAUUAUGAGUAGUAAUUUCCCUAAUGACAGAUUUGGUCUCUCAGCUGUGGUGAACAGAGGGGCAGUGCUUGGUGCAGCACUCUUCACACUGAUGUCUUUUAUCACCAUCGGAUUUGUUUGGAUGGCCAUAUCCAAGAAGCUGCGGUGAAUAAGUGGCACUGAAGUAAAAAUCAUUUGACACACGAUGGUAAAGCAACUGAAGCUCUGAGCUGAGCCAGUUUCAUUAUGUUGGAUCUUCACUAAGUGGACUUCCUCUAAGGGAAGUUUUAGCACUCACACAGUUUGCACAGCCAGAAAGCAACUAAAACAAUGGAAACCAGUGGUGGAAAAGGUACUGAGAUCUUCUAGUCAAGUAAAAAGUAGCAAUACCUAAUGUAAAAGUAAAGAUAGUAAAGGUCCUGUAUGCAUGUUUUACUUAAAUAGAAAUAUUAAAGUUGAUGUGGAGUUUUCCUAUAAACAAACAAAAGUAUGUUUACAUUCAGUGAAUCUCACCAACACACUGCGUAGCCUCAAGGUCUCAUUCUCAAAAAAUAUAUUGCCAGCAGUCGUCUUCACUGGCUUAUCCUGCACGUUUCUACUGUUCUUUAUGCGUUAUCGUCUUCUACGGGCAGUCAGCAAAAUAUCCUGAAACCAGUGUCUUCGUGCACGCAUACAAUACAAAUUAUACAGGGACCUAUUUCUAAAAACAUUGCUCCACAGCACACAGUGGUCAAAAACCCAACAGGGCACCUUUAAUCUAUGCCAGUGCAUCAUAUCAAACUAUAGUAUGUAAAAUCUACUAUAGUGGUGGAGUAGAACUACAGUAUAAAGUACUGUAGCAUAAUGGAAAUACACAAAUACAAGUAUCUAUAAAUUGCACUGAGUAUGUUUUCCACCUGAUCUCAACAGUGUGUCUUGUCUUGUCUACUUUGAUGCUCUUGUGACUUGUUGAUCUUAUUUAUUGCUGAUCACUAGAAUAAUAGUUAGUGCAGGUAUAGGUAUAUUUAUUUCCUAGUCUAAACAUCAAACAUGUCUUUUACACUCCACCAGAUGCAUUAAAAAGCACACACAUCCGACAUGCUGUGUAAGAGCGAGCGGGCCUAUCACUUUUCCUGUUCUGACAUGCAGCAUGAGACGGAGAGCUGUCGUAUCAGUCACGCUUUGGCAUGCUGCAGCACCAGCUAUAUGUCCACGGCUCAUCCUGCACACAGGAAAUAUUUUUAGGAUGGUAAAGGGCACAUGGUGUUCCCCAUGAAUGUUUUCAACUGUGUUCUGUAUCACGCCUGCACUCAAGUGUAGAACAGAUAUCACUUUGUGAUCGUUGCCCACUUCUAUUUGCACUUUGUCGUAAAGAGCCUGUAUGAAAUAAAUGCUGAUUUUUGCGAGACCUGGGAGUAAAGAUUUCUGCAGGAUAUUUCUUGCAGAAAGCCUUGGCCAUUCAAAUAUGAGAUAAUCUUUUAUUUAUUCAGAAAGUGUCGUUGAGAACAAGCUCUGACAACAGAUUACAUUUAUACAGCAUCACAAAAACACCUGGUACACAAACCAGUUACUACACACACAGACAGUCAUUCAAACAAUUACAAACAUUAUUUUAAGUAUUGAAUAAUUUCUAUAAGAAGCCAUGCUGAUUUAUUGUCCAGUAUUAGGUUAUUACAGACACACCAGUGUCUGUGUUUAUGCCAGAUGAUAAGAACAAGAAAUAAAAACUAUCCAACUUUCUUAGAUCUAAAUAUUCCUGUCGUUGAUAUUUUACUGGACUCUGGCAUGAAAACACCAGCAGUUGAUGGACGUCCUCGUGUGAGAGACAAGGAGUUACAGCUGUCAUAAAAAGCAGAAGGGCCUGUGACAGCUGUCAGCCUGAUGGACAUGGGAAGGUCAUCAGAGGCGAGCAGGGGUGGAAGAAUCUGACAUUGCCUGAGCUGUGGAAGGUGAGAGCUCAUGAAAAGCAGGGACGGGAAUCAGCACAUCUGGCUGUGGGAUGCCUGAAGUCCUGAGGUGAAAGAAGCA